RNAcentral lists this ribosomal RNA (453 nucleotides) under uncultured bacterium. Its description in RNAcentral is "bacterial SSU rRNA". It matches the Rfam family "Bacterial small subunit ribosomal RNA", at positions 340 to 786 of the family's 1533-position model. The record is from RNAcentral.
UACGGGAGGCAGCAGUGGGGAAUAUUGCACAAUGGGCGCAAGCCUGAUGCAGCCAUGCCGCGUGUAUGAAAAAGGCCUUCGGGUUGUAAAGUACUUUCAGUCGUGAGGAAGGUGUUAAGGUUAAUAACCUUAGCAAUUGACGUUAGCGACAGAAGAAGCACCGGCUAACUCCGUGCCAGCAGCCGCGGUAAUACGGAGGGUGCGAGCGUUAAUCGGAAUUACUGGGCGUAAAGGGCACGCAGGCGGUUAAUUAAGUUGGAUGUGAAUCCCCGGGCUUAACCUGGGAAUGGCAUUCAAGACUGGUUAGCUAGAGUCUUGUAGAGGGGGUAGAAUUCCGAUGUGUAGCGGUGAAAUGCGUAGAGAUGUGGAGGAAUACCGGUGGCGAAGGCGGCCCCUGGACAAAGACUGACGCUCAUGUGCGAAAGCGUGGGGAGCAAACAGGGAUUAGAUACC